This is a long non-coding RNA of Anthonomus grandis grandis, 932 nucleotides long. RefSeq lists it as uncharacterized. Lineage: Eukaryota; Metazoa; Arthropoda; Insecta; Coleoptera; Curculionidae. The record is from RefSeq and is a predicted model, not a curated record. The transcript has 4 exons.
AGUUACAGGGUUACUUUCAAAAAUAUGACAAAUUAUUGAAGGUGCCUAACAGGCAAACUGCACCAGUUCCCUUAAUUUCCCACCGAUUUUCAUGAAAAUUGCAUUGAUGCAAAGGGUUUUUAAUUUAGAACCAUAAAUGUAUCUAUAAAAAAAAUAAAAAAUUGGAAAUUUCCAGAGUUACAGGAAUAUUUUCAAAAAUAUGGCAAAUUAUUGAAGGUGUGUAAGAGGCAAACUGCACCAGUUCCCUUAAUUUCCCACCGAUUUUCAUGAAAAUUGCAUUGAUGCAAAAGGUUUUUAAUUUAGAACCAAAAAUGUAUCUAUAAAAAAAAUAAAAAAUUGGAAAUUUUCAGAGUUACAGGAAUAUUUUCAAAAAUAUGGCAAAUUAUCGAAGGUGUGUAAGAGGCAAACUGCACCAGUUCCCUUAAUUUCCCACCGAUUUUCAUGAAAAUUGCACUGAUGCAAAGGGUUUUUAAUUUAGAACCAAAAAUGUAUCUAUAAAAAAAAUAAAAAAUUGGAAAUUUUCAGAGUUACAGGGUUACUUUCAAAAAUAUGACAAAUUAUUGAAGGUGCCUAACAGGCAAACUGCACCAGUUCCCUUAAUUUCCCACCGAUUUUCAUGAAAAUUGCAUUGAUGCAAAGGGUUUUUAAUUUAGAACCAAAAAUGUAUCUAUAAAAAAAAUAAAAAAUUGGAAAUUUUCAGAGUUACAGGAAUAUUUUCAAAAAUAUGGCAAAUUAUCGAAGGUGUGUAAGAGGCAAACUGCACCAGUUCCCUUAAUUUCCCACCGAUUUUCAUGAAAAUUGCAUUGAUGCAAAGGGUUUUUAAUUUAGAACCAAAAAUGUAUCUAUAAAAAAAAUAAAAAAUUGGAAAUUUCCAGAGUUACAGGAAUAUUUUCAAAAAUAUGACAAAUUAUUGAAGGUGCCUAACAGGCAAA